This 479-nucleotide ribosomal RNA is filed under the name uncultured bacterium. RNAcentral's name for it is "partial 16S ribosomal RNA". It matches the Rfam family "Bacterial small subunit ribosomal RNA", at positions 28 to 507 of the family's 1533-position model. The record is from RNAcentral.
GAUGAACGCUGGCGGCGUGCUUAACACAUGCAAGUCGAGCGAGAAGUUUUGAAAAGAUUCUUCGGAUGAAAUUUAAAAUGGAAAGCGGCGGACGGGUGAGUAACGCGUAGGCAACCUACCCCAUACAAAGGGAUAGCAUUUGGAAACGAAUAUUAAUACCUUAUGAAACUUAACUAGUGCAUGCUAGGUAGGUCAAAGAUUUAUCGGUAUGGGAUGGGCCUGCGUCUGAUUAGCUAGUUGGUGAGGUAACGGCUCACCAAGGCGACGAUCAGUAGCCGACCUGAGAGGGUGAACGGCCACAUUGGAACUGAGACACGGUCCAAACUCCUACGGGAGGCAGCAGUGGGGAAGAUUGCACAAUGGGGGAAACCCUGAUGCAGCAACGCCGCGUGAACGAGGAAGGCCUUUGGGUCGUAAAGUUCUGUUCUAGGUGAUGAAAACUGACAGUAACCUAGGAGAAAGCCCCGGCUAACUCCGUG